AACAAAACAAUGAAAGCUUCACAUGAUUAACAGUUAAUUAUUCUGCAUGCAAAUUUCACUUCUCCACCUAUGAUUCAGUUUUAUAUCACUGCUGCCAGGUAUUUAUUCCUCCAUCAUGGCUUGUGCUUGUAUCACAGAAAUCUCUCUCACUGAAUAAAGAUUCAAGAUGUUUACUGUAAAAAUUGUUUGUCACUGUGUUCCUGACAUCUAUUCUCAUAACUACAGUCUGUGUACUACUGCUUUUAAGGUGAAAGCAUCUGUUUGUCAAUAUCAUCCUACACCAAUACUGAUUGGUGUCAGAAUCUUGAUUUCAUCCAUGUAUGUCCAACUUUUUGUCUUCCUUGGACCACAUUUAAAGAAAAAAAAUUGUUUCAGGCUGCACAUAAAAUAUACUAAUUCUGAUGAUAGUUGAUAAGCAAAAAGUUAAUAAGUAAUAUAUAAAAUAUGAUAUCUACCAUGAC
Molecule: long non-coding RNA, 461 nt
Filed under: Androctonus crassicauda
Lineage: Eukaryota; Metazoa; Arthropoda; Arachnida; Scorpiones; Buthidae
Source: RNAcentral